Molecule: non-coding RNA, 2466 nt
Organism: Rattus norvegicus (Norway rat)
Lineage: Eukaryota; Metazoa; Chordata; Mammalia; Rodentia; Muridae
Source: RefSeq, a predicted model, not a curated record
ACCCCAGCUUAGCAGCAGUAACGCCAUUUUGCAAGGCUGUACUUAAGAUGACUGGUUCAGGGAAAGGUUAGAACACUGAGUACACAGCGGCUGCCAAACAAGAUGUGUUUGGUUGAAGGCCUGGCAACAGGAGGACUGCCGUUGAACACCUGACAAUGAGAAAAGCCCCGGGAGAGGUCCCACACCCUGGUGGGGGGCUGAGUCAGCCGUUAUGUUCCAAGAAGGUAGCUAAGAAACUUGCCCCCGGGCUGAACCCUUGGGGGGCCGAGUCAGCCGUUAUGUUUCUGGAAGGUAGCUAGGAAACUUGCCCCCGGGCUAAACCCUUGCCAUAUUAGAAUCCACCAAUUAUAUCCCUGUAACCAUGCAUCUGCUUCUGUAUGCUUGCUUCUGCUCCCCAAAAUCCUAUAAAAGCCCAUCCUUGGUUCCGUGGGGCGCGCCAGUCCCCCGAGUGACUGAAGCGCCCGCAGGUGCCUGUGCCUGUGUAUCCCGACAAUAAACCAAAUCCUCUUGCUGAUUGCAUCCUGUGGUGUCUCGGUCUGGUCUUUGGAGUUGGAGGGUCUCCAUCCUGAGGGAAAGUUCUCCCUGAGAGCUUUUCAUUUGGUGCAUUGGCCGGGAAAGGAGAUCCUCCACCCAGGGACCACCGACCACCCACUGGGAGGUAAGCCGGCCGGCGUCUGUCUGUCUGUCUGAUUUUGUCUCGUUCUGCCUUAUUCUGUCUGUUCUGUGAGCGCUCAGCCAGGUUCUGUGAGCGCUCAGCCAGGUCUGUUCUGUGAGCGCUCAGCCAGGUUGUUUGGAAUUUGGGCGGGACGAAGAAGGAGCUGACGAGCUCGGACUUCUCGCCCCGCAGCCCUGGAAGACGUUCCAAGGGUGUUGGGGCCCGACUUUUCGGGGCCCAAUCUGGGAGAGGAGAAAGAUCCGGACUAACGGCACCUCUGUCUGUAUUUUUGGCUUUCAGAGGGCCCCGGACCUUUGCCACCUCCAUCUGACUUUUUGCUUUCAGUUUGGUACCAAAGCCGUGCAGCACGCCUGUCUGUUGUUUGUUUGACUGUUGGUGUUGUUUGUUUUCUCUGUGUUCUAAUCUUCCUUAGAACUAACAUGGGACAGUCCCUAACAACGCCCCUAAGUCUCACUCUUGAUCAUUGGAAAGACGUCCACGACCGGGCACACAACCAGUCCGUCGAGGUUAAAAAAAAAAGAAAAAUGACAGACUCUCUACACAUCCGAGUGGCCCACUUUCGGAGCGGGAUGGCCAGUGAAUGACACAUUUAAUAAGAUCAUUAUUUUACAGGUUAAAGAUUGGGUCGUCCACGGACAUCCUGACCAGGUUUCUUAUAUUAUCACUUGAGAGAGUCUCGCCUUAAACCCCCCCCCCCCGGGCGGAACCCUUCGUGGACCCGAAUUGGCCUCCCGUCAACCCCCAGCCUGUCCCCUCGGCCCCGCCCGGUCUGCCGGCCACGUCUUCCUCUCUCUACCUUUGUGAAAUCAGAGCCUUCUAAGAAACCUGUCCUCCCGGCAGACCCAAACUCCCCUCUCAUAGAUCUUCUCUCUGACAGGCCCGGCUGAAACGGAGGAGGCAGAGCCGCUGGCCAGAUCAGUUGCCGGGCCACAGUCUGAUAAGGGUUUCUCCCCUGUCGCAGGGAGAUUGCGCAAUAAGCGCGAGGUGAUGCCAGAUUCAACCUCCCAGGCUUUCCCACUUAGACAGGGAACCGGUGGCCAGACCCAAUACUGGCCGUUUUCAGCAGCUGACAUUUACAAUUGGAAACAACACAACCCUUCUUUCUCCAAAGAUCCGGUGACACUCACCGACCUAAUAGAAUCUGUUUUACUUACCCACCAGCCUACUUGGGAUGACUGCCAACAGCUCUUACAGGCCCUCUUAACCUCAGAAAAAAAAAAAAAAAACAAAGAGUGUUCCUAGAGGCCAGAAAGCAUGUUCUGGGAGAUGAUGGGCGUCCCACCCAGCUGCCUGAGGACCAAACUGGGAUUUUAAUACAGCUGAAGCUUCAGGACAACUCAGCGACCGGACGGCCUGGGUACAAAGAGCUACUGGUGAGAAACAAUACCGAUGGACUACGGACCGCCGGGUUCAGCUGGCUACCGGUAAGGUGACCCAUUCCUUCUUACAUGUUCCGGACUGCCCGUACCCUCUGCUGGGCCGUGACCUGCUCACCAAACUAAAAGCACAAAUUCAUUUUGAGGAAAGAGGGGCCCGAAUAACUGGCCCCCACGGAACUCCCCUUCAAGUUCUAACCCUAUGAACCGGGACAGGACACUGGCUUGGGCAGAGACUGGUGGGAUGGGGUUGGCGCUCCAACAGCCCCCCUUAAUUACAACUCCAGUCUCCAUAAAACAAUACCCCCUGUCACAUGAAGCUUAUCAAGGUAUAAGGCCUCACAUUAUGAGGCUUCUGGAUCAAGGCAUCCUAGUCCCCUGCCGGUCGCCUUGGAAUACGCCUCUUCUGCCUGU